This 22-nucleotide non-coding RNA is filed under the name Arabidopsis thaliana (thale cress). Lineage: Eukaryota; Viridiplantae; Streptophyta; Magnoliopsida; Brassicales; Brassicaceae. The record is from RNAcentral.
ACAUUGAUGGAGAAUUCAGGCA